Long non-coding RNA from Amblyraja radiata (thorny skate), 339 nucleotides. RefSeq lists it as uncharacterized. NCBI's taxonomy places the organism in Eukaryota, Metazoa, Chordata, Chondrichthyes, Rajiformes, Rajidae. The record is from RefSeq and is a predicted model, not a curated record. The transcript has 2 exons.
CACUUAGUAGUGAGCAAAUGGGACACUGUCUGUAGUGAGCGAGUGUGAUACUGUCAGUAGUGAGGGAGUGUGAUACUAUCAGUAGUGAGCAUGUGUGUUUCUUCAAUAGUGAGGUACUCUCACUACUGAGUGAGUGAAACAUUGUCACUACUGAGGGAGUGUGACACUGUCACUACUGAGGGAGUGUGACACUGUCACUACUGAGGGAGUGUGACACUGUCACUACUGAGGGAGUGUGACACUGUCACUACUGAGGGAGAGAUACACUGUCACUACUGAGGGAGAGAGAUUGUCAGAAAUUAGGGAGAUUACAGUACAGAGAAGGAUAUUCGUGUGUAA